CUUUUUGGUGGGUUUCUUCCUUCCUUCUAUCUGAUGAGGACUUCAUUCAUUAUUGCAGUAAGAUGAUGGCAUAAUGUUGCUUUUUUUCUUCUAGUCAGACGUUGUCCAUUAUUAAAAAAGUUUCUAAGUCUGUACCCGGCCCGAAUUUAAUUUUUUGCUAUAAGCCAUUACUUGAUUUUGUUGUUAUGCGAAUGCGCGAAUUCUAUUUCGUGCUCAUACCUAAGUCUGAUGGUAUUAUGACUCACUGUCGUCUUCAUUCCUCAUGCUCUUUGAUAUCUCUUGUGAAUAUAACGCGUACAUUAUUUUUUUAGUUUUACAUCUAGGACCCUCUCAGGACCCGUCCCGAAACAUCGACCUUGAAUUCUAACUUGUAUGAUUAUUAAUGCCUAUUAUUAAAACCUAUUUGCCAAAUGAAAUUAAUUUGUUAAUGGAAUUACUAAUGGAUUAUUCCCUCCUUUCCAUCCCCGGGUAUCUUCUUGUACGUACUGCAAUCUCCGUCGUGUGUACUACUAAGAUAUACCGUGAGCAUACUAUCUGUGAUCCGAAUGAUGGCGAACUAUGCCUGAUCAGGUUGAAGUCAGGUUAAACCCUGAUGGAAGACCGUAUAAUUCUGAUAUGCAAAUAGAUUGUCACAGUUGGCUAUUGGUGCGAAAGAUCAAUCGU
Molecule: ribosomal RNA, 663 nt
Filed under: Culicoides ravus
Lineage: Eukaryota; Metazoa; Arthropoda; Insecta; Diptera; Ceratopogonidae
Description: eukaryotic LSU rRNA
Rfam family: Eukaryotic large subunit ribosomal RNA (bases 354-663)
Source: RNAcentral